GGGAAUCUGGCUCAGUGGUAGAGCACUUGCCUAGCACGCAUGAAGCCCUGGGUUCGAAUCCUCAGUACCA
Molecule: transfer RNA, 70 nt
Filed under: Dipodomys ordii (Ord's kangaroo rat)
Lineage: Eukaryota; Metazoa; Chordata; Mammalia; Rodentia; Heteromyidae
Rfam family: tRNA
About the family: Transfer RNA (tRNA) molecules are approximately 80 nucleotides in length. Their secondary structure includes four short double-helical elements and three loops (D, anti-codon, and T loops). Further hydrogen bonds mediate the characteristic L-shaped molecular structure. tRNAs have two regions of fundamental functional importance: the anti-codon, which is responsible for specific mRNA codon recognition, and the 3' end, to which the tRNAs corresponding amino acid is attached (by aminoacyl-tRNA synthetases). tRNAs cope with the degeneracy of the genetic code in two manners: having more than one tRNA (with a specific anti-codon) for a particular amino acid; and 'wobble' base-pairing, i.e. permitting non-standard base-pairing at the 3rd anti-codon position.
Source: Rfam by way of RNAcentral